Molecule: long non-coding RNA, 2323 nt
Organism: Benincasa hispida (wax gourd)
Lineage: Eukaryota; Viridiplantae; Streptophyta; Magnoliopsida; Cucurbitales; Cucurbitaceae
Source: RefSeq, a predicted model, not a curated record
UUGUGGGAAAGGUUAAAAAGAAAAAGAAUAAGAAAAAGAAAAUAGAUUUUCUCUCUCUCUUCUCAAGGCCCUGUGCGACCCUCCUCCUUUUUCUUCCUUUUUUUUUCUUUACCCAAACCCUAGCCGCCAGAGCCACCAUUGUCGGUCGCCAGUGCCACAUCUCAUCGCCAGCGUCGUCAUCGUCGUGUCCCUUCGCCAGUGCCACAUCGCCGCGUCGAUCGCCAGUGCCAUCCCCGUCGCAGCGAAAGAGCCCGCCGUUCAUCCACCGCUGCCUCGCCGGUGUCUGGACCAUGAGCCGCCACGCCCAGCCGUUCAGCUCCACUUCUGCCGCCGCACCGAGCUGUUCAGCUCUGUUUCUGCCGCUGCGCCCAGCCACAAGUCGACACAUUCGACUGACACUGCCUAUUCUUGCAAUCUUGAGUUGGGAUUAGAAUUUUGGAAGAUUUUGGGGCCUCUCUAUCAAGGAAGAGACCAUUCUUUUUGAUGGAAAAUUUUUGGAAGAUUUGUGGAGACUUUUGAGACCAAGUUGAGGUAAGGGCAAGGAUACUCGGGCGACUGACAAGAGGAAUCCAUGACAGUGCCAUAGGAACCAGAUUUCGCUUUCGCAUUUGACCCUUUAUAUUUUUUCAUGUUUUGUUUUUUUUAUUACAUUUAUAUUUCAUUAUAAUUUUUUUAUAUAAUUUAUUUCAUGUUAGAAAGGCUGCCCGGGUUGAACGAUUUAAGAUCUUGAGAUAAUGACAAAACAUUUUCUUAUAUACUUAAAGCAGUUCAAAAUCAUGAUUAUUCUAUUUUAUUUUUACUUUAUUUUCCUCAAUGCGAAUAUUUAUGCAUGCAUGUAGUAACAAUCCCCUUUUUAGUAGUACUAGGAGGUGGGGUUGUUACAGUUGGUAAUCAGAGCCCAUGUUUUGGGGUUAUGUAGAUUGACUUACUAUGUAAGUUCAGGUUGUUCCUUUUGGCCUAUAACAGAUUCUUCGUCGUCGCUAGGUAUGUCCUUUAUGAAAAGUAUUUAGGAUAAUAUGCACCCGAGUUAGUAGCAUUUAUGAUUGCAUUUGAUGUAUUUUUUUUGCUAGUAAGAAAAGUAGCUAAGGGGUGGUUGCAAACAACUGUCAGGAAAAUGGUUCGUGUUAGGGGAAGAGGCAGUCAUAGGGUUACCAGAAGGGGGCGCGUUCCCGAAGAGUAGAAUUCGUCAGUUCAAGAUCAAGAUCCUCAUGAUGAGGAUCCACAAGUUCAAGAUGCACAAGUUCAGAACCUUCCGGUACUAGAGGAUUCCUUGCCACCUAGGUACCCUUCAGGGUUAGGGUGGCAACGAACCCAGACACGAAGUAGAGCUCAGCACACAGCCACACCACCAUAGACGCAGGCCACCUCAGUCGUUCCAUCAGAGGUUACCGAUUGGGCAGUUGCUAUUGGGGAAGCAGUUACAUCAGCUGUGUUGAGUAAGGUGAAGGAUAUGUUGGAUGAACGACUGGCCUAGUUUGCCCAGUUCCAUCAGACACCACCACCACAAGAUCAGAUGCCGUAAGUCCAGACUCAGAACAUGAUCCAAAACCAAAGCAUGUCAGGUCUUUUGGUGGAAACCAAGCAUUUAUGAGAUUUCAGGAAGUACAACCCUAACACCUUUAAUGGGUCAUUAAAAGACCCUACCAAUGCAGAGUUAUGGAUAUCCACGAUUGGAACGAUCUUUCGUUAUAUGAAAUGCCCAAAAGAUCAGAAGGUGCAGUGUGCCAUUUUCAUGCUUACCGACAAAGCACAGAUCUGGUGGAAGUUGGCAGAAAGGAUAUUGGGUGUAAGAGGGGAACCAAUGACAUGGGAGCAGUUCAAGGAGUGCUUUUACUCGAAGUAUUUCUCUGCCAACCUGAGGUAAAAUAAGCAGAAGGAGUUCUUAGAGUUGAGGCAGGGACACAGGCCAGUGGAGAAGUAUGACCAGGAGUUUGACACAUUGUCCCGUUUCGCCUCGGAGUUGGUCGCCACGGAAGCUAUGAGGGCAGAAAGUUUCGUUCAAGGCCUAGAAUACAGUAUAUGAGGUAUCAUGCGAGCAUUCAAACCAACCACUCAUGUUGAGGCACUUCACUUUGCAGUUGAGGUGGACCCACAGUCAAGAGACGAGUAUUCACAGGCAUUUGGGGCGGGACCUUCCUCAAGUCAAAAGAGGAAGGCAGAUCAGAAGGCUUUCGAGCCUCACCCCCAUCAGAAGAUUCAAAGCUCAGACAAAUCGCAUCGACAUUUUAAGCAGUAGGCUGCCGAGGCAGAUAUGGUGGAAAGGAUUCGAUCGGUGUGUAGCUCGUGUGGAAGACGCCACUAGGGUCGAUGUUUAGCAGGCACC